GCAAAGUGAGCAUGAAAGAUAUAUCACCGAGGAGGCUUUUGGUGGUUGUCCUGUGAUUAUUAGAGACUAUCCGAAGGACAUCAAGGCAUUUUACAUGCGGCAGAACGAUGAUGGGAAGACUGUUGCAGCCAUGGAUAUGUUGGUACCUCGGGUUGGAGAACUUAUUGGUGGAAGUCAAAGAGAGGAACGCCUUGAAUACCUAGAGGAACGUUUGGAUCACAUGAACCUCAACAAAGAAAGCUUUUGGUGGUAUCUUGAUCUGCGACGUUAUGGUUCAGUUCCUCAUGCUGGAUUUGGACUAGGCUUUGAAAGGCUCGUUCAAUUUGCGACUGGAAUAGACAAUAUCAGAGAUGCAAUACCUUUCCCUCGAACACCUGGCUCUGCAGAGUUUUGAGUUUUGACCUUAAAAGGGUACUACUCUUUAUAAAAAAUGAAUCGGUCCAAAAAGGUGCAGUGUCACCAAUACUACCUUCUGUAAUCCUUUUUUUGUCUUUUCACUAUUCAUUCGUUAUAUAGAUUUUGUAGAGCGUGUUAAAAUGGUGGAAGUUAUAGUCAUUUCUCCGAAAUAAUUAGAGAUAUGGAACACACCAAAAAACUGUGUUUUUCAUAAAAACUUA
Molecule: unclassified non-coding RNA, 617 nt
Filed under: Hevea brasiliensis (rubber tree)
Lineage: Eukaryota; Viridiplantae; Streptophyta; Magnoliopsida; Malpighiales; Euphorbiaceae
Source: RNAcentral